AGGAGAGUAGCUCAAUUGGUAGAGCACCGGUCUCCAAAACCGGGGGUUGCAGGUUCGAUUCCUGUCUCUCCUG
Molecule: transfer RNA, 73 nt
Filed under: bacterium
Lineage: Bacteria
Also listed under: 1 other name
Description: tRNA-Trp
Rfam family: tRNA
About the family: Transfer RNA (tRNA) molecules are approximately 80 nucleotides in length.
Source: RNAcentral